RNAcentral lists this long non-coding RNA (3477 nucleotides) under Anas platyrhynchos platyrhynchos (common mallard). RNAcentral's name for it is "lncRNA (ENSAPLG00000025221.1)". The record is from RNAcentral. Lineage: Eukaryota; Metazoa; Chordata; Aves; Anseriformes; Anatidae.
AUGGAGAAGAAGCCGCAAGACAUCAAGACACUGCCUCACUGUGGGGUGAGGCAGGCCGAGAGAAUCCAGCUGCCAGCCCUGCCGCCUUUGCCAAGGCAGGCAGCGACUCAGGCAGCAGCACCCAAGCAAGUGCCUGCAGCACAGGCAUCAUCGUCUGAAAGGGCCACUUGCAAGCUGCCCCCUCUGCAAGCAGCAGCCUCUGCUUCUUCAGGGGGAGGAAGGGCAAAGUCAUUGGGAACAGAGGCCCGCAGCCAGCAAGAGCUUUUGCCACCUCUUCCCUGCAUCUCUGGCAACAGGGACAGAGCAGUGAGGGCAGAGAGGCGGGAACGUGGCCCACACAGCCCUGUGGCCCCUGACGAGGACAUGGGCAAUGCAAUACGGUCCUUCGUGUCCACUGUUAUAACAAACGCUCUAGCCUGCAAUGAGGGAGCCAGCAGCAAGGCAAGGCUUUCUCCCUCAAGCAGAGGUCCCAGGACCAAAGGCCCCACAACACCACCUCUCGCCACAGCAGCGGCCCAAAACUGGAAGAGUCGGCAGUCGUCCAAAAGCAGCCUUGCAUCCCCUGCCGAAGAAAUGGAUGACCGAAUAAAGGCCUUUGUCUCCACUGCAAUAAGAAAUGGCCUUGCCUGGAACCAGGGAGCCAUGAGGGAGGCAAGGCUUCCUCCCGUGGGCAGACCUCCCACGAGCAAAGGACACAGUACACCACCUCAGCCCGCAACUGGGCCCCAGAAUUUAAAGAAGAGCUGGCACCCUGCCCCACACAGCCCUGCAGACUCUUGCACGGCACUGCAGGACACAGCACACUCCCGCGUGUCUGAAGUGCUGGAGAAGACGCAAAAAAGCUGGGAACACGGCCAACGAUCAGCAGCACUUGGGGACCUGGCACAAACGGGGUGCAAAUUGAGAGCAACAAGUUCAGCCGGGGUCCAGACAGACCUGGAGAGGACGUGGACGACUUCUCUGCCAGGGCCUGAUUCCCGGGUAUGCGCAGGAGCAAGGGCUUCCAGCAGAGACCCUGCAGCAGCUAGCCCAGGCCAGGGUAAGAAGAAAAAACAACAGAGAGAGAAACACAUCAAACCCAGGCAGGGGACAGGAAAUGAGGGGACAAGCCAAGGCCGGGGCAAGAAAGAGAGCAGUCCUGGGGGAUGCGAUGAAGAGGAGGAGAUCGUCAUCAUCAACUCCUGGAUCAACCCCAGGUACGCCAGCCUCUUCACAGACCCACAGGAUGUUCCCCAGGAAGAGGGCAGCGCAGCCAGCAGUGUGGACAGGGAGGCAGCACAAGAAGCAAAACACUCAGCAAGCGCCUCUCCUGGCUCGCUGCAAACCAUGGACACUGUCCCAUCAGCUGCUCCCCAGGAAGAAAUUCCUGGGGAAGAGAGGCACAGCACGCCUCUCACUUCAACAACAGCAGCACAGAGCAGGCCAGCAAGUCCUCCAGCAGCCCCUGCUCUGGAAGAUGAGGGACACAGGACGCCUCCCCUGACACGUGGGGCUCCACAGUCAAAACCAGCAGCCUCUCCAAGCCCCAGUGAGCACAGCACUGCAGUGAUGGUUGAGAGCCAGGGACGUGCCCGACAUGCCUCCAGUGCCUGUGAUGACGAGCUGGAUGAAGGAGUCAAGACCAUCGUUUCCACAGUCAUACGCCGUGCUGCAGCCAUGAGCCAGGGAGCCCCAAGCAAGGCACCAAGUACUCCCUCGGCCACAGGACCCAGCGUGCCUCCUCCCACAGCAGAGCCUGCAGACUCUACAUCCUCAGCAUCUGCCUUGGCUGGAGCACUGGGGGACCUGGCACACACGGGGAGCACAGGGAGAGCAACGAGAUCAGCCGGGGUCCAGACAGACCUGGAGAGGAGGCGGACCACUGCUCUGCCAGGACCUGAUUCCGGGAUAUGCGCAGGAGCAAGGGCUUCCAGCAGAGACCCUGCAGCAGCUAGCCCAGGCCAGGGUAAGAAGAAAAAACAACAGAGAGAGAAACACAUCAAACCCAGGCAGGGGACAGGAAACGAGGGGACAAGCCAAGGCCGGGGCAAGAAAGAGAGCAGUCCUGGGGGAUGCGAUGAAGAGGAGGAGAUCGUCAUCAUCAACUCCUGGAUCAACCCCAGGUUCGCCAGCCUCUUCACAGACCCACAGGAYGUUCCCCAGGAAGAGGGCAGCGCAGCCAGCAGUGUGGACAGGGAGGCAGCACAAGAAGCAGAACACCCAGCAAGCGCCUCUCCUGGCUCGCUGCAAACCACGGAUGCUGUCCCAUCAGCUGCUCCCCAGGAAGAAAUUCCUGGGGAAGAGAGGCACAGCACGCCUCUCACCACAACAACACCGGCACAGAGCAGGCCAGCAAGUCCUCCAGCAGCCCCUGCUCUGGAAGAUGAGGGACACAGAGCGCCUCCCCUGACAUGUGGGGCUCAACAGUCGAAGCCAUCAGCCCGUGCAAGCCCCAGUGAGCACAGCGCUGCCGUGAUGGUGGAGAGCCAGGGACGUGCCCGACAUGCCUGCAGUGUCUCUGAUGAAGAGCUGGAUGAAAGAGUUGACACCAUCGUGGCUGCAGUCCUACUCCACUCUGUAGCCAUCAUCCAGGGAGCGGGAGCCCCAAGCAAGGCAGCAAGUGCUCCCUGGGUCACAGUGCCCAGGGUGCCUCCUCCCACACCAGAGCCUGCAGAAUGUACAUCCUUGGCUUCUGCCUUGGCCAGAGGCCCUGUGGGGGAGGCCAGUGAAGCCCCUCUCGCUGCAGCAGCAACGCCACAAGAAGAAGGUGGAGAAGGGGCUUCUCCUUUGGCUGCAGAGCCUCUCCGGGAGGCCAUCACAGAUCUCCGCCCAGCAGCAGCUGACAAAGCAGGAGCAGCAGCCACUCCCUUGGUUCCUGGGCACCAGGUGGCCAUCGAGCAGGGAGGCCAAGCACAGUCCUCCUCCUGCACCAAAGAUACGCCAGCGGAUGAGCCAGCAACGUCCCAGACACAAGCGCCGUCCCAGGAUCUGUUGGCCGGGCCUGUUCAGCGCAGCGAGCAGCAGCAAGCACAAGGUUGGCAGCACCACGCGCAGGGGGGCUGGCUGGUCCUGGGCCACCCCUCCCCGGGGAAAGGCCUUGGAGGGGGGGACAGGCUCGCCCAGCACCCGCUCAGGCCCUAACCUACACCUCUGUGUCCCCCACAGGCAUCCUUGACCUCGCACAAGCCCCGGCGCGCCAGCCACGGCCCUCCCGCAUCAGGAGGGCACUUCGUGCUCUGCGCAGGGCUUUCCGCUGCAGCUGCAUCGCAGGACAGCGAGAGUAGCCGCGCCCGGCUGUGCCAGUCCCAGGAGGAUGCUCGGAGCUGGCAGCUGGCCCUCAGGAAGCUUUGCAGCGCCCACGGAAGCAUCACUGCGAGGCACAGGACAGCGCCCCAGGAAUUCAGAUGCCCCACCACAUCCUGCCCCCAGCCUCAGCUCAGCUGCAGCUGCUUUCUGCUUUCUGCUCUGAAUAAAAGCUCAGGCAGACUUUUGCCCCCA